AGAGUUUGAUCCUGGCUCAGAACGAACGCUGGCGGCGUGGAUAAGACAUGCAAGUCGAGCGCUCACUUCAGGGUAGCAAUAUUCUGGAGUGGGAGCGGCGCAAGGGUGCGUAACACGUGGGUAAUUUGCCAAAAAGUUUGGGAUAACUCGCUGAAAGGCGAGCUAAUACCGGAUGUGAUCAUCGGGCGGCAUCGUUUGAUGAUUAAAGUUGGGGACCGUAAGGCCUGACGCUUUUUGAUAAGCCCGCGGCCUAUCAGCUAGUUGGUGAGGUAACGGCUCACCAAGGCUAAGACGGGUAGCUGGUCUGAGAGGACGACCAGCCACACUGGAACUGAGACACGGUCCAGACACCUACGGGUGGCAGCAGUCGAGAAUUUUUCACAAUGGGCGAAAGCCUGAUGGAGCGACGCCGCGUGGRGGAUGAAUGGCUUCGGMCCGUAAACCCCUGUCAUUUGCGAACAAACCUUGCUAUUUAAAAGAUGGCGAGYUGAUUGUAGCGAAAGAGGAAGGGACGGCUAACUCUGUGCCAGCAGCCGCGGUAAUACAGAGGUCCCAAGCGUUGUUCGGAUUCACUGGGCGUAAAGGGUGCGUAGGUGGUGAGGUAAGUCGGAUGUGAAAGCUCCGAGCUCAACUCGGAAAUGGCAUUGGAAACURCCUUGCUGGAGGUUUGGAAGRGGGAACUGGAAUACUUCGGUGUAGCGGUGAAAUGCGUAAA
This 715-nucleotide ribosomal RNA is filed under the name uncultured bacterium. RNAcentral's name for it is "bacterial SSU rRNA". It matches the Rfam family "Bacterial small subunit ribosomal RNA", at positions 8 to 694 of the family's 1533-position model. The record is from RNAcentral.